GAGACAAGAUACCAAAAAACUUUAUGCGUUUACUUUUGUGCACUUUUUAGGUUAUAAAUAAGCAGAAAAAACAUAGCAACAGUUUAGUGAAAGAGUAACGGUGCGCACGCAAAACGUUCGUUGCCGGAUGAAAUACGCCAGGGACAAAUAAAAGCGAAAGAGAGGGAAAAAAGUGCACAACAAAUGCAGAAAACGCAGAGAAAAUAGCAAAAAGUUUGCGUACCAAAUUGGAAACGUAGCGUAAUGCGUAACUAAAUGAAGUAAUGAAAAGAUAAACCGACGCUGUCUUACACUUUGUGGUACAAAACAAAUUUCAACUUACCUCUCUAUAUUUAUAUACUGCAUUCUGGGCAUUUUAUUAUUGUUGCAAUACGGUGCUGGCUACAAGGUUUGAGUGCUGUGACAACGGCACGGCACGAAAGCAGUAAUGUCAACAUAAAAAGUGACGAAAGUUUGCUUUUUAGCGACACGAAAAGGGCAGCGACAGUCGCUAUCAUUGAAGUUGGACUGUUAAACUUACAGCAAAAUACCGUUAAAUGUAUUAAAGUUGCAAAAAAUUGCAAAUAAAUGGCUGUAAGAAAAACACAAGGGGCAACUUUAGUUACAUAAUCUAAGUAUAAUCAAGAAAACAUAAUGAGAUUGGGAAAAAGUGAGUUGAUUUAGUGAUUGAAAGUGAGCGCGAAAGUUAGAAUUGAAAUUAUGCGAGUAAAUAAAAGUGAGGAAUAAUAUUAUGCAAAUUUUUUUCGGUGAAUUUGUGAAGACUGAAAAGAGAAAAAAAAGCCAAAAGAAUUGUGAGUACAAGAAUCGUCUCAUAAGUUAGUGACAUUUAAAAUGCAACUUUGCCGCUGUCAACUGUCAACCGUUAACUGACAUCAUAAGCGACAUGGGAAUUAAAUAUAUAUCAUUUUAGUGUACAAGAAGACAGUGCGUAAUGAAAAUUUGAGUGAUAGAUUUAUGUGUGUAUGUAGAGAAAGUCACAGAGACCCAACUCUGAUGAAUUAGUUUCGUUUUAGACACAGUCAUAAAUUCGCUACCGAAAUUUAUGCAUAUUUUUUGAUAUUACUAAACUGCAGCCAGCUGCCACGAAGCUUUUCAUAAUGCAAUGCUGUGACUCACGUGUGGCGGUUGUAAAAUACUCUUGCUUAUUAAAGAGUUGAAUUAUGGCCAUAAUUGAAAGGUAAUUUUGAUGUAAAUAAAGCAACCGAUAUCGACCAGGUCAACCUGGCUAAUUUGUAAUAAAUCAAUAAGAGAGAGUGUAUUCACAUACGAAACGAUGUAUAUAGAGAUCUAAGUCACUAUCAUGAGACACUGAAUCUUGUUAUAAAGAUAGUUUUCCCAGUUAAGCACAGUCAUGGCUCAGCAGAAAAACAGCUCUUAGAUAAGACAAGGCCCACUGAGCUCAAAAUAAUAUCAUUGUGUACCAAAUUUAGCAUGAAUAGCAGUGUCUUGGGAACUACGUCAAUGUUGGCAGCUAUAAAUUUGGAAAAUAGGAGGAUUUUGUAUGAACCAGCAUAAAUACCACCAACAAUCUAAGCCCGCAGAUCAAGCACAAAAUAGCUCUUGCCAACAGGUGCUGCUUUAGGAUUGGUAGGAAAUUGAGAAACAGAUACAUCUCUCGACGAACAAAAAUUACGCUCUAUUAGUGUCUGUUCAUUACCGUUCUGGUAUAUGGCGUAGAAACAUGUACGAUGACAAACUGUCAUGAGACAACGCUUGGAAAAUUUGAGAGAACUGUUCUCCGCAAGGUCUUUGGACACAAUACGCGUGGGCGAUGAGUACCAACGAAAAUAGAACCAUGAACUACAUGAGCUCUACCGCAACAUGGAUAUAGUUAAGCGCAUAAAAAUUCAACGAAUGCGCUCGUAAUGCUCCAGUGAAAAGUUUAUUCGAUUCGAUGGAUGGACAACGGAAAAAAGGGCGCUCACGCAUCCAAUGGAAGGACCAAGUGAAUAGAAACCCAUCUCCACUAGGGAUGAACAACUGGCGAGAUCUCGCAAAGGAUAGAGGUAACUGGCCAAGUUUAGUAUUCCGGUGGUAGCACGAUGGUAGUGUCAAAGAAAAAGCAAAAGAGCUUUACAUACAGAUCAUCUCAACCAGUUUGGAGUUCGAACUUAAUUGUAAUUCCUAAAAAGAGUACUUGAGUUUUCCUGUAGUAUUACAAAAUGUCGUCCUAUGCAUUCAAUAAAGUUCGCGGUUGUUCGG
Long non-coding RNA from Bactrocera oleae (olive fruit fly), 2202 nucleotides. RefSeq lists it as uncharacterized. The record is from RefSeq and is a predicted model, not a curated record. NCBI's taxonomy places the organism in Eukaryota, Metazoa, Arthropoda, Insecta, Diptera, Tephritidae.